CACACCUGGUUUCAAAACACCAAGAUUGUGAUAGUGAAAAAGCUUUAAAACCAAUUUGUAGCGUCACAGGCGCAAUGACAACUUUUAUACUGUGUGCACUACUUCGGCAGGCUGGACCAGAGCUGCUCCUCGGACACUUCUGAAACAUAAGUGUUGAGUUGGGACAGUCGAGCCUGCAGAUGCACCGGAAUCUGCAGGAGCUGGAAUCCAACCAGCGUAUUCCAAAAAGAAGGAACUAAAAGCCUCUGAGCGCCGUACCACAGGGGGCUCAACUCACUGUGUUUUAACACACAAAGAGACAGAGAGAGAGAAAAUGACCAAAUUUCCAAACGUCUGUGCAGCACUUGGAUAAACUGACUCAAAUGUCGAGCUCUCGGUGCCACCGAGCCAGAGAAGAGCACCGAACAGAGGGAACAACAGGUCAUCAGCCAGUUUAUUUCAGUAGAGACCAACAAAAUGUACAAUGAGCAGAGCCAAUCAGGGAGCGAGAAACCUUCUAGCCAAAAUAACACAGUGCAGAUGCUUCUCCAGAAAUGGUUUCAUGAUUCUGCUCAAGGAGACACAGCUGAGAGAGAAUCGAUAUGUUUUUGAUAUAAGCCUGAACUCUUUUGCUAGAAAUUGCUGUGGAGUGUGUGUGUGUGUGUGUGUGUGUGUGUGUGUGUGUGUGUGUGUGUGUGUGUGUGUGUGUGUGUGUAAAUCUGUGGGCUUAGAUGGAGCGCAGGAGUCCAGAGAAAGGUGGCCUCAUUGCAAAGCGUUCCACCGUGCAAAUCCGAAUUUUUAUUGUAUUGAAUCUUUAUUUUAAAUGUGUUAAGAUAGAAUAACAACAACAACAGAGAAAAAGAGACAAACAAACAAAACAAAAAGAAAACAAAGCAAUAAUAAUUAUAAAUAACUCACAUGUUCAAAAAGACUGGGAAGAAUCAUGAGCUUAUUUAAUUCCACCCCCACCAUUCAGUAACUGAUAGUCUACACUUGUUCUUCCAUCAUCAAUCCUUCAUUACAAUUUGUUACAUGUAGGUUUUAUGCUUUUAUAAUCCCAGUAACACGUCAAAAGAUAUGCACAUUUACAGAUAUAUGUACUUAUAUAAACAUACAUGUGCACCCACACACAUAUAUGCACAUCCCUAUUGUGAAAAUGGUGGGAACACCCAAUCAGAGCCCUCUCUGUAGUUUUGAACCGCUUUUUAAACUGGUUCAUGCUGAUACGUUGCUUCAGUUCUUCACAUCCACAGCUUCAAAUUCAGAGCAUAACAGCUGACCUGCAGGAUGUCUGUUUACUGAAUACUUGAUGAAUCCCAAAGGAAACAAUGUCAGUGAUCUGUGAGAUAAAGUUACUGUGCAACAUGUGGAACUGUGUGCAGAAGUCAGUAGUACUUCUUAUAAGACUCAGACAUUAACACACUUAAGAGCUCUCUUAAAUACCUGUAAAUGAAAAAACUACAUAUACAGUACAUGAUGGUCAAACUGUGUGAGAAUUGCUGAAAAGACAUUUACUGUAGAUGCUUUUCUUUCCCAGCAGCAUCUGAAACAUUGCAAACCAGUGGAAGGAAUCCCAGUACAACAUGCACACGGACUGGGAUUCUCUCAGUUCU
Long non-coding RNA from Oreochromis aureus, 1592 nucleotides. NCBI's taxonomy places the organism in Eukaryota, Metazoa, Chordata, Actinopteri, Cichliformes, Cichlidae. The record is from Ensembl.